Molecule: long non-coding RNA, 8329 nt
Organism: Apis cerana (Asiatic honeybee)
Lineage: Eukaryota; Metazoa; Arthropoda; Insecta; Hymenoptera; Apidae
Source: RefSeq, a predicted model, not a curated record
GGGUCUCCGACUCGCAGCAACCUCCACGCCGGUGAGACCUGGGAAAUCAUUAUUAUUUACUAUACAAUUCAUAAUUAUAUCAUACGAUACAAUUAUAAAUUUUAUAGCGAAUAAUAUGAGCUAAUGGCUGCGAACGCGAAUAUAUUUUUCAUAUGUAGAAAGUUUAUUAAGAAAUUGAAAUUAUGCAUUAAGUAGAUUUUAGUCUCGUACUUUUUACGCGGUUUAUUUUUAUUCGUGUGUUUAGAUUAUAGCAUAUUGAUGGCGCUAGAAUCUCAUUCCGAUGUUUUUCGAUAUUUCAAAAUAUGCGAUACGAAUUCCCGUAUGAUAUCCCGUAUGAUAUUUUAUUCUCGUCUCUGACGAUUCGUUCAAUGAUUGAAGGAUAAAGUAGAUAAAAGAAUCGAUCGUUAGUGCCCUCUCUUGGCACUUUUAGGCAAAUAUUUUUGAUCACUUGCAAGAUAAUAGCUAAUUUUUAUCCUACUUUACCCCUUGUUUCUGGAUUUGCCAUCUCAAUAAAUGCAUCUCGCGCUUAUUCCGUACUUUAUCUGUUAGGAAUUAAUUAUUAUUUGCCAUCUUUCAAAUGUCAAUGAAGUUUUCGAAGAUUUGAUGAUAAAGUAGAUUUAGAAUUGAAAAUCUGCUUUAUCUCUUGAUGAAUGAAGAAUUCAUUUUCCUUAGAAAUGUUGGCACUCAAUUCUUUUGUUAGUUCAUCGUUUUUGGAGAGAUGGCGACAGUUGUCGCUUUUAGCUCUUCUCUAUCCUUGUCGUAAUAUUUGUUUUUCUUGUCUAUACGUGUUUCAUCGGUGACGCGAAGAUGGCGUUAGUUCCUCAAUUUUUCUGUUUUUCUUCUUCAACAAACUGUGUUAAUUCUUCGAUUUCGAACGUUUCUUUUUCCCCUUCUUUGUUUUCACUUGUUCUUAGGAAAUAUUAUUAAGGUUCACAACAGAUUCACAUUAAAAUGCAUGGAAUACUUUUUCGAUUUAGAUUUUGAAAUCAAGAUUAUGAAAUAAGUAAUUUUAGGAAAAUUCAAGAAUAAUUAAAUUGUAGUUUUUUUUAUCAUUUGCACUCAUACACACAUUUAUAUAACAAAUAUAACAAAAUUUGUAUAAAUUAUAUAAUAAAAUUUAUUAAGAUAUCUUAUUUAUAAAAUUUAAGGUUUUUUAUUAUCGAUACAAGGAUUAAAUAUUUAAUUUUAAUUUUUCAGAUCUUGAAGUGUCUCAUGUUUUUUCUAAUAUAUUAUUCCUAAUAUUACAAUUCGUUGUAAUCAUCUUUUAUCAUCGUUUAAUUGUUAUUAUGAUUGGAAGCAAUUGAUCAGGAUAAGUUAAACAUGUGAUCAGAUGUCUCGAAAAUGCAACAUCGAAACAUAAAUAUUAUUAUCAUCCAUCGACAAACCGAUCAAUUAUGACAAUAAUCUUUUAGAUUAAUAAUAUGAUCUGGUUAAUUGUGAUUUAACGUUUGAUUAAUGUCAGCUGAUAUUGGACUGUAGACAGAUUCGUAGCACUAUUAAUAAGGCAAUCGCCAUCAGUGAAGUAUGGCCUGCUUAUGGAAGCUGGUAGCAAACAAGGUCACUUUUCUGACAGGAUCAUUGUACACCUGUCCGGUUAAAUACCCUAUUAAAAUGGUGAACGUUGUUCGAUCCAAUCUCUCUCAUUUAUUUUAAAUAUCUUACCAUUUUUGAUUGUGUGUUCUACUUUACACAUUAUUGCAUAUUAUUAUGCAAAUAUUUCGUUUUUUUUAAGUAUUCUAAUAUAAUUAAUUAUAAUAUUUUUUUGUAAUUUUUUUUUCAUAUGAAAAAUUAUCAAGACUGAGUUGUUUAGCUCAAAAUGAUGUAAAAUGAUAAUGAUUGGUGAUAAUGUGUAUAGUACAAUAGUAAUUUUAACUGAUAGAGAAUUAUUAUGUAUACGUUAAAUGUUCAUAGUAUGUCAAUCUUCAAAUGAUCUUUAAGAGAAAAAUUGAAAUUUAAGGAAAAUUGGAAUGUUAAACAUUCGUAAUUUUGAUAUUUAAUUGAAAGAAAGAAUGAUUAAGAUAUGAUAAAAUAUGGUAAUGAAACGUAUUCCGGUAAUUUGAAUGACACGAAAUUAUUCUUUUGCAUUUCAUUCAUUUUUGAGAUUAUACUCAUAUUUUAUGGGGGGUUGCGUAUAUUAAGUUUUCAACAAAAAAGUAUAUUUUAUAUUUGAAGGAAAUUACAAUUAGACGAAAUGAUUAAUAAUAAUGACAAAAAUGAAGUUCAAAAUAUAAUUGAAUUUAUCUUUUAGUAAUUUUUUAAGAAACUAAUUUAUUAAAAAUUAUAUAUUUUAAAAACAAUACAAAAAAAAGUUUAAUUAUAAUUUCUUUUUUUUUUUACAUUCAUAUUAAUUAAAAUGUUUUUACCGAUACGAAAAAUAAUUAUUAUAUUUUCAUCUAUUUCGAAUGCUUUAUCAAACUUUAUCUUUCGCUACUUUGAAGCGAAAUCAAUCCACCGUGAAAGAAAAAAAAUAAAUGUUUAUUAUUUUAAUAUUCAAUCAAAGUCAAAUAAAUUCUAUGAAAAUUAAAGAGUACUCGGACCGCGAUUUAAUUCAUAAUUAGUUUCUUAUUACCGAACGGGUUAAAAAAUAGAGUCAUCGCGGAAAUACGAACAACUUGACCCAGUUCUGUCAAUUAGUUAUGGUGGCUAAAUUUGAGGCUGCUGUUACUGCUCAGGCUUAUUCUUUCCUUCAUCAUCUUCUACUUUACUUCGUGCAAAUAUUUAACGAUAUCCAAUACACGAGAUAUAUUUUUUUUUUAAUUUCUGCAGCUUUUAAUAAUCCUCAUGUCGAAUUUAUUGAUCGUUUUAAUAAGAAACUCAAAGCAAUGUUAUGGAGCUUUUAAAAUUACAUUUCUACAACUUCGUGACAUAUAAUUUCAAUAUUCGAAAUAUUUUAUAAUAUUCGAAAAAAAAUUAAACAAAUAUUAAAAGACGUUUUUAUAUCGAGAAUAAUUUCAUUUUUAAACAGCUAAAAUAACUAGAUAACAAAGUAAUUGAAAUUAGAAUAAAGCUGUAUUUUAUAUUAAGAUGAAACGAAUAAACACUUGUGCAGAUUAAGUGUUUAAUUAUUAAAUGAAUGAUUUGAAACUUUAAAAUGCAACAUACGUAUUCGUGAAACAUGAGAAAAAAAAUAAUAAAACUACAUGAAAUGCAAUUGAGUAAAAUCGUGUUCUACUGAUUUGUAACGGUAUGUUAGCUCCAUUAAAAAAAAUUAUAAUUUUCUGGUCAAUAUUCCUACAUCACUGAAGCGUUCCCUAUUGGUUUAACAACAAUUACAUUCCGCCUCGACAAUUUUUAUGUAGUUGAUGAAUCCAAUUAGCCAUCAGCUGAUCGAAAUCUGUGUCGUUUUUUGUCCAAUUAUAUCGAUUAAAAAUAUAAUCAGUAUUACUGAUAAUAAUUUUAAUCUUAAUUAUGACAAAUAUACGGAUAUUGAAUAAUAGUUAGUUAUGCUCUCAAUUAUCGUUGAAUAAAUUAUUCAUCUUAUCGAAUUUUCCUAAUUCAAAAUAAGAUAUUUAUUACUUGAAAAAUUAACACCAUUCCAUUAUUUUAUGACGGUUGAAACGUAUAGUCGCGUCAUGUACAUUUUUCAAAUAUGAAAAAUGAAAAAAAGCUUUUCACAUAUUCGCUUUUUUUUUAUUUUUUUAUAACAUAUGCUCAGUAUAAACGUUAUCAUUAAUAUGCGUAGUUGUUUCAUUGUAUUUUUCGUACGUAUCAAAAAUCCAAUUUAUCAAAGAUAUCUCUCUUCGAUUUUUUUUUUCAUUUAAUUCUUUUCUCUUUCGUCUACAUUAUAUAUAUAUUAAAAAUUUCAAUCGUUCGUAUCAUUAAUUCAAACAAAGCUUUUCUUUAUCGAAAAAAUUCCAGGUUUUCCAUGGUCGUAUCAAUAUUUGUGAAAACGAUCGUUCCUUGGCGGAAGUGCACGGCAUCCUAGCAGUUUUAAAGCUACCGCCGGAUGCACCACGGAGGCCGUAAGGUCGCUCAAGUGGCGUGCAGUCGAUUGUCCCAAUUCCAGUUGGAAAUCGAUAGCGACGCCGGAAAAUUUAUUUGCAAACGCGGCCUGGAAUCGACGACUAACCGAGUAUCGUAUUCCGAGGAAAAAUCUGUUCGAUUCUACUCAAACGUUCUGAAUCCGAUCGACUAUGAUCGAACAAGAUUAUUUUUCUAUGAAAAAAAAAAAAAAGGAAAAAAACUUGACGUUGAAACAAGAUUUUAUCGGAAAACUGAUUUUCCAUGUAUCAAAAUUUCGCGAUAUCGAUAGAGAAAUGAUUAAUAUUUUUAUUACUAUUUAUUAUUCUCUUGGAAGUAUAUUCAUAUUCUUUUUGAAAUUCCAUUUCAAGAGUUGUGGCAAAGUUAUAAUCUGAUUUUUCUAAUUAUCUAGGAAGCUGUUGGUUUAUACGUUUGAAUAUUAAUAAUUAUUAUUAUAAUAAAAGAUAUAUAUAUCGACCGUCGAGGCAAGAAAUAUCGAUAAAAUGCGAAUGUGAAUAGAUUGAAAAUAAUUUUCACAAGCAUAUAAGGAAAAUGAAUAUGGAUUGUGCUUCUGUGGAAAUAGAUUCAUUUCAAAUGCGACGUAUAAGAAAUUGAAUUCGUACUUCGCAUCAGUGCGAUGUUGAUUGAAAAUAAGGUGGACGAUCAAAUUUCAAAUACGCAAAAACUUCAUCGAGUAAUCCUACUCAGAACGUAUUAUUUGCAUUUCAACGAGAGUUUUCGUUACGUUUCUGCAAUAAUAAUAAUUCCGCAAAAAUAACAAAUUAUAAAAUGAACAUUAUUUAUUUUAUUAUCUUGAUUUAACAAAUUUUUAUUUACAAAACUUGGUUUCCUGGUAAAUUAAAAAUUCUUGGGAUAUAAGGCUUGUUAUUGCGGAACGAUACUGUGAAAAUAUCCCUUAUAAACGUGUAUCUAAUUAAAUUUUGAUUAUGUAAAGUUCAUCAACCUAGAUAUUAUAUUUAAUUAUAAUUAAUAGAGCGAGCGGUUAAGGGAAAAUUAUAUUAUUUUAUGAUAUUAGGAGAUUUUUACAAAUAUUCUUUAUAAUAUACACUUUAUUCUAUAUUUUCGAAUAACUUUUAAAAGUAAAAUUAUUACAUCUCAUUUUCGCCUGGAAAUUUUUUUUAUCUAAUAUUUAAAUAAUAAUAUAAUUUAAUAGUCAAUUCAAUAGCACGCGAAACAUAUUUCAUCGAGAAAUUCCAUAUAUCACGGUCAUUAGAAAUUUAUUUAAACUUUUUGCAAAUUAUAAUAUAAAAGAAACUUGCAAGAAAACAGUAGACAUCGAUCAUCGAAACAUCAAUCGAUCACAACUAAAUUCGAAGGUAAUUAUUCUCACCUGUUCCAGUCAAUAUCUGGUGAUACGAUAAAUUAAAGUUGUUGAAAUCGCGUCGAAAUCACGGCAUUUAUAUAAAAAGAAAAAAAAAAGAAAAAAAAAAGAAAAGGAAAAGGAAAAAAGCAAAAAUGAAGGAAAUAUUGUGAAAUAUAAAUAGGACGAUUUCGUAUUAAGUCUGAUGAUGGUUUCCAAGAACACUAUGAUGACCUUUUUCGUAAGCGAGCAGGCAUCGUGCCAGCUGUGAUCUACCUAGAUCAUUUCUUUUUUACCGGACAUAAAAACAGAAAAGAGGAGAAAAAAGAGAGAAAAAUGUAUGUCGCUCCUUUUGUCCACCAUCGAGAAAAAUGGUGGAAUUUGCAUUUUAUCAUAGAAACGUAUGUUUUAAAUUUGGAAAUUUGGACGAGAUUUAAUAUUUUUCUUCUUUCUUAUAUACACGGAAGAAUCUCGGUAUAUCUUUAAUAAAAGGGAUGUGAAGCUUGUAAUAAAUAGACGCGAAAAAAUUAUAAAUAGAAAUAUAAAUCAUUGUGAAAUAGAUAAAAAUUGAUAAAGAUAUCGGGAUAGAAUUUUAUCAAGGAAUAAUACGUUCGUGAGAUUACAAAAAUUUGUCUUUUUGAUCGAACAUUUGCAUUUCAUCACGUUUCAUUAACAACUUUAAUGAAAAUGAUAAUUUUUUUCGAACGAAACAGCAACUAUAUAUAUAUAUUUUCGUAAAAAAGAAGCUUUUUUCUAAAGAAAUUUCUCUAAAGUAGCGGAAGAAUACUUACUCCGUAAAUUGAGUUUUGAACGAAUAGCCGAGGGAUAUUACCGCGAGAUAAAACGUUUACAAUCUAUAAAAAUUAAAAAUAUUAUACAUAUAUUAUCCACGAUAAAAAAAAAUAUUUUUCAUUCAUGUCAGCCGUAGAAAAUAUUUUAAACAAAUAUAAAUAAAAAUAUACAUUACCUGUAAUUUCAUAUUGAAAGGAAUCGUCUUUUUAGAGAAGAUAUAUGUGAAAAUAUCGAGCAAGCUUUCCUCGUCAUUUUUCAUUCUUGAUGCAAGUUUUCUUGGUGCUCUGAUUGGACAUUUUCUUCGAUGACUAUUUUAUCAUGGGACAUUAUCAUCGUAAAGACAUCACGCUUGAUAUAACGUUGUUUGAUCUCUUUCACAAUAAAUAUUUACAAUAUAAUGGAAAAUGUCCAUUGAUAAAAAUGUUGUUAUCAGAAGAUGUCAAUUCUAUAAUAAUUCAAAUUGAUGGUUGGUGGCGUGUUAUUUAUGCAUGCGGAAAGUGAACGAAUAAAUAAGAGUUACAUUUCAAGCAAGAGUUGUUGGAAAUAAUUAUAGAAUUAUUUUUAAUCAAAUAUUAUAAAAUAACAAUAAAGAUUUAUUUAUUACAAUGGCAAUUAAAAUUAUUGAAAAUAUAACGCUUUCCUUGACUGGCUAAGAACAAUAAAAAUUACAUAACUGUGAUUUAUUUUUGGAAAUUUAGAUAAUCGACUUGUAAAUUAAAUUACAUUAUACUCAUUGUUCUUUUUACAAUGAUUUGACACCAAGUGAAGAUAAAAGCAUUUCAUGCAUACAACAAAGAACGCAAUUUGUUACAUUUUGUUAAAUGUAUCAUAUCGUACGUUUUCUUAAGCGUGUGUGAACGAAUAAAAUCGCAUGAUUUUACGAACGUUACAAAAUCAAACAUAUCCGACAAAUAACUUUCCAAAAUAACUUUUGUGAUGUGAAUCUAAUCUAGAUUCCGUUUUUACAAAUCUAUUCUUAUGUGUGUUGAAAACAAAUGUCAUCGAUAAAAUUAUAUUUGUUCCAUGUGAAAAUAUCGCUUUGGAAAAAAAAACAAAUAUGAAAUCACCAAUAGAACAAAUAUCAUAUACACACAAAUGGAAGGAAAAUUUUAUUCGAGCAAUUAUCUUGAAUAAAACUUUAUUUCGAUACGUCCAAUAUACCGGAUCAAAAAUAUCACAUCGAUCAAAUCUGAUUUGAUUUAAUCAGAUAAAAAUAAAAGAAAAGAAGAAGAAACAACGCUGCAAAACGAAAGAUAAUUAAGAAAAAAUUGACGAAAAAGAUGCGAAGGAAUAGAUUUUUGUUAGAAUUCUAUAAAAUUCGGUAGAUUCGUUUAACAUUUCGCCUAGAAAAAGAAAGAAGAGAAGAAAAGGGAGGAAAAGGAAUAUCAACGGAAUAUUUAAUUUCUGAUAAAGUAAAGCUCGUAUUUUAUAUAAAAUUAAAAUGCACGGAUAAAAGGUUGAAUGACGGAAGUGUGAAGUAAGUUUUGAAGUAACGGUGUACCGCACGACGAUCUUACUUUUAUAUGCACGUAACGUAAAAAUUAUUGCCAGGAAUGGGAACGUUGCUUUCAGUUGUAAAUACAAUCACCAGUAAAAAAGAAGUUUACGCAUCGAGCCGAUAAUAAAAUUUUCAUCUGGGAGUAGAGUUAUGCAGACAACAAAGCUCGAACAGGGUCAGGUUGAUUAUAUUCGAUCGACAGUGUUUUUUAUCGAGAUUGAAAAAUAAAGGAAGAAAGGAAAGGAGAAUGAAAAAUUGAUACGCGAGGUUUGACGAUAAAGCGUUUAGAUUAACUUUAUUGCGAAAUCUGUUUCAAAAAGAUUAUUUAUUUUCCUUGAAAGUUUCCAACUGUUAAAUAACAUGCUAAGUAAAUCGUUUGCUCAUAUUCUCUUUCAACUUGUCUAAUUGGAAAAUUGUUUGAAAACGAAUUAGAAAAUUGUUGGAUAAACAAGAUGAUUUUAUAUUUCAUUUUAUUCAAUUAUUUUAUUCAAUGGAUUAAGUCAUUAAUUUUUUUCGAUUUUUUUUUAUUUUGAAUCGAUAUAAAAAUGUUAUAAAAAUGUUAACAUCACCAAGUUAUGACAACUCGGUAGAAAUAUGUUUCUGUGUCGCUACGGAGAAGAUAUAUAAAAAGAUCUAGAAAAAUGUCUCGGAGAAAGCAGAAGAAUUUUUCAUGUCUGUCUCUUUCAUACGAUUCAGCAACACGCGAAUUUCACGUAUUGAAGAUUCAAAAUAAAAAAAAAAAAAAAAGAAGAAAAAAG